AAAGUCGUAACAAGGUUUCCGUAGGUGAACCUGCGGAAGGAUCAUUAAAAAUAUAGCAAACCGAGCGUUAGCGAGGUUUUGCGAUCAAAAUGUAUUUAAAACCCAACACUUUGAAUCAAAAAUAUAUAUUAUGUAUCAUGAAUAAUUAAAAGAUCACUUUCAACAACGGAUCUCUUGGCUCUC
RNAcentral lists this unclassified non-coding RNA (183 nucleotides) under Glomeromycotina sp. RNAcentral describes it as "partial contains small subunit ribosomal RNA, internal transcribed spacer 1, and 5.8S ribosomal RNA". The stretch from base 1 to 47 matches the Rfam family "Eukaryotic small subunit ribosomal RNA", at positions 1785 to 1831 of the family's 1831-position model. The record is from RNAcentral. Lineage: Eukaryota; Fungi; Glomeromycota.